GACAGCAGUCGCCGCGGUAAUACGUAGGGUGCAAGCGUUAUCCGGAAUUAUUGGGCGUAAAGAGCUCGUAGGCGGUUUGUCGCGUCUGCUGUGAAAACUGGAGGCUCAACCUCCAGCCUGCAGUGGGUACGGGCAGACUAGAGUGCGGUAGGGGAGAUUGGAAUUCCUGGUGUAGCGGUGGAAUGCGCAGAUAUCAGGAGGAACACCGAUGGCGAAGGCAGAUCUCUGGGCCGUAACUGACGCUGAGGAGCGAAAGCGUGGGGAGCGAACAGGAUUAGAGACCCCUGUAGUCCCUGUCUCUUAUAC
This 306-nucleotide ribosomal RNA is filed under the name uncultured bacterium. RNAcentral describes it as "partial 16S ribosomal RNA". It matches the Rfam family "Bacterial small subunit ribosomal RNA", at positions 507 to 807 of the family's 1533-position model. The record is from RNAcentral.